GAUGAACGCUGGCGGCGUGCCUAAUACAUGCAAGUCGAGCGAACAGACGAGGAGCUUGCUCCUCUGACGUUAGCGGCGGACGGGUGAGUAACACGUGGAUAACCUACCUAUAAGACUGGGAUAACUUCGGGAAACCGGAGCUAAUACCGGAUAAUAUAUUGAACCGCAUGGUUCAAUAGUGAAAGACGGUUUUGCUGUCACUUAUAGAUGGAUCCGCGCCGCAUUAGCUAGUUGGUAAGGUAACGGCUUACCAAGGCAACGAUGCGUAGCCGACCUGAGAGGGUGAUCGGCCACACUGGAACUGAGACACGGUCCAGACUCCUACGGGAGGCAGCAGUAGGGAAUCUUCCGCAAUGGGCGAAAGCCUGACGGAGCAACGCCGCGUGAGUGAUGAAGGUCUUCGGAUUGUAAAACUCUGUAUUAGGGAAGAACAAAUGUGUAAGUAACUAUGCACGUCUUGACGGUACCUAAUCAGAAAGCCACGGCUAACUACGUG
RNAcentral lists this ribosomal RNA (496 nucleotides) under uncultured bacterium. Its description in RNAcentral is "partial 16S ribosomal RNA". It matches the Rfam family "Bacterial small subunit ribosomal RNA", at positions 28 to 507 of the family's 1533-position model. The record is from RNAcentral.